GGGGAUAUAACUCAGUGGUGGAGUGCUUGCCUUGCAUGCUCAAGGCCCUGAGAUCAAUUCCCAGUACCCUCC
Molecule: transfer RNA, 72 nt
Filed under: Urocitellus parryii (Arctic ground squirrel)
Lineage: Eukaryota; Metazoa; Chordata; Mammalia; Rodentia; Sciuridae
Also listed under: 2 other names
Description: Spermophilus parryii (Arctic ground squirrel) tRNA
Rfam family: tRNA
About the family: Transfer RNA (tRNA) molecules are approximately 80 nucleotides in length. Their secondary structure includes four short double-helical elements and three loops (D, anti-codon, and T loops).
Source: Rfam by way of RNAcentral